RNAcentral lists this ribosomal RNA (299 nucleotides) under Hyphomicrobiales bacterium. RNAcentral describes it as "Rhizobiales bacterium partial 16S ribosomal RNA". It matches the Rfam family "Bacterial small subunit ribosomal RNA", at positions 1 to 327 of the family's 1533-position model. Lineage: Bacteria; Pseudomonadati; Pseudomonadota; Alphaproteobacteria; Hyphomicrobiales. The record is from RNAcentral.
CAAACCUGAGAGUUUGAUCCUGGCUCAGAACGAACGCUGGCGGCAGGCCUAACACAUGCAAGUCGAACGCUCCCUUCGGGGAGAGUGGCAGACGGGUGAGUAACGCGUGGGAAUCUACCCAGUACUACGGAAUAACGUUUGGAAACGAACGCUAAUACCGUAUACGCCCUUCGGGGGAAAGAUUUAUCGGUAUUGGAUGAGCCCGCGUUUGAUUAGCUAGUUGGUGAGGUAAUGGCUCACCAAGGCGACGAUCAAUAGCUGGUCUGAGAGGAUGAUCAGCCACACUGGGACUGAGACAC